GCCUUCGUGGUGUAAUGGUCAGCACACUCCGCAUGUAUUCGAGAGGUCCAGGUUCGAGUCCCGGCGAGGGCA
This 72-nucleotide transfer RNA is filed under the name Stegodyphus mimosarum. It matches the Rfam family "tRNA". Rfam says of the family: Transfer RNA (tRNA) molecules are approximately 80 nucleotides in length. Their secondary structure includes four short double-helical elements and three loops (D, anti-codon, and T loops). The record is from Rfam by way of RNAcentral. Lineage: Eukaryota; Metazoa; Arthropoda; Arachnida; Araneae; Eresidae.